AACGAACGCUGGCGGCAUGCCUAACACAUGCAAGUCGAACGAGACCUUCGGGUCUAGUGGCGCACGGGUGCGUAACGCGUUGGAACCUGCCCUUAGGUUCGGAAUAACUCCCCUAAAGGGGUGCUAAUACCGGAUAAUGUCUUCGGACCAAAGAUUUAUCGCCUUUGGAUGGGCCCGCGUUGGAUUAGCUAGUUGGUAGGGUAAAAGCCUACCAAGGCGACGAUCCAUAGCUGGUCUGAGAGGAUGAUCAGCCACACUGGGACUGAGACACGGCCCAGACUCCUACGGGAGGCAGCAGUGGGGAAUAUUGGACAAUGGGCGAAAGCCUGAUCAAGCAAUGCCGCGUGAGUGAUGAAGGCCUUAGGGUUGUAAAGCUCUUUUACCCGGGAUGAUAAUGACAGUACCGGGAGAAUAAGCUCCGGCUAACUACGUG
RNAcentral lists this ribosomal RNA (433 nucleotides) under uncultured bacterium. Its description in RNAcentral is "partial 16S ribosomal RNA". It matches the Rfam family "Bacterial small subunit ribosomal RNA", at positions 29 to 507 of the family's 1533-position model. The record is from RNAcentral.